GACGUAGGGGGCGAGCGUUGUCCGGAUUUAUUGGGCGUAAAGAGCUCGUAGGCGGCUCAGCAAGUCAGGUGUGAAACCUCCAGGCUUAACCUGGAGACGCCACUUGAUACUGCUGUGGCUGGAGUUCGGUAGGGGAGUGGGGAAUUCCUGGUGUAGCGGUGAAAUGCGCAGAUAUCAGGAGGAACACCGGUGGCGAAGGCGCCACUCUGGGCCGAAACUGACGCUGAGGAGCGAAAGCGUGGGUAGCAAACAGG
RNAcentral lists this ribosomal RNA (254 nucleotides) under uncultured bacterium. RNAcentral's name for it is "partial 16S ribosomal RNA". It matches the Rfam family "Bacterial small subunit ribosomal RNA", at positions 524 to 776 of the family's 1533-position model. The record is from RNAcentral.